This 755-nucleotide long non-coding RNA is filed under the name Drosophila guanche. Lineage: Eukaryota; Metazoa; Arthropoda; Insecta; Diptera; Drosophilidae. The record is from RNAcentral.
GUAAAUGUACAAAUCUAUGCCACACACACACACACACCUGCCACAUGCCGCAUGCCACAUGCCAUCAUGCGGCAGUGUCUGUAACCAGCGGCUGUGUGUCUGUGUGGGAUUUCUUUUGGCCAAGCUUUUGAUUUGUUUGUUAACCCUCAUGCGGUCACCAGAGCUCACAGAGCUGCACUCUGCCUCUGUCUCUGCCUCUCUCUUUGGCUUUCAACGCUCGUUUCACUGAUCAUUUGGGUUGAUUGUGGUCAUUCCGAGAAGGUGAAAGAUGAAGAAAGUGCGGCCUGGGGGCAGAGACACUCGCAAUAGGAUUGGGAUUGGCAGUUUUAGGUGACAAAUUAGCAAUGGAAAUGAAACAAAAGUGGAGAGGAAUUCUAAGCGAAGGAACUGGACUGCAGCUGGUAAGAAAUUCAUUGAAAAAUAUGGCCAUUUCUUAAGAAAAGUAUGUAUAUGUAGCUGCCUAUACGAAUGAGUGGAAUGAUAAUAAAGUUUCACUGGGUUGAAGCCCAGAACUGUAGGAGCUCCUUCUGUCUACUGGGAAUCCUUAAAUACCGGGAAAAUGUACAUUUUAUUGCUUAAGUUUUGAUGAAUUUGUACAGCUUUUUAUUUAUUAUUAAUUCCGUUGGAAAUGUAAUACUAAAUAUUGUUUUUCUGUGUGUUUGUUUUCAGGUAAAUUCAUGGAAUAUCGGAUUAAAUUGUAAACCUUUAUCAAGCCUAUUCCUGGAAGGAUUUCGAUCCAAAAAUGAUCUAAAUAC